CGCGUAGGUGGUUUGUUAAGUUGAAUGUGAAAUCCCCGGGCUCAACCUGGGAACUGCAUCCAAAACUGGCAAGCUAGAGUAUGGUAGAGGGUGGUGGAAUUUCCUGUGUAGCGGUGAAAUGCGUAGAUAUAGGAAGGAACACCAGUGGCGAAGGCGACCACCUGGACUGAUACUGACACUGAGGUGCGAAAGCGUGGGGAGCAAACA
RNAcentral lists this ribosomal RNA (207 nucleotides) under uncultured bacterium. Its description in RNAcentral is "partial 16S ribosomal RNA". It matches the Rfam family "Bacterial small subunit ribosomal RNA", at positions 568 to 774 of the family's 1533-position model. The record is from RNAcentral.